RNAcentral lists this unclassified non-coding RNA (2540 nucleotides) under Leishmania donovani. Its description in RNAcentral is "gene:LdHU3.35.6470(CDS-product:TPR_repeat/Tetratr icopeptide_repeat/Uncharacterised_protein_family_(UPF0121)_ putative)". Lineage: Eukaryota; Euglenozoa; Kinetoplastea; Trypanosomatida; Trypanosomatidae. The record is from RNAcentral.
UUUCCAGCUCGCCUGGCCUUUGGUGUCGUCCCCCACCCCCAUCGGCAUCCUCUUAUCGGUAUCGCCCUCUUUUUGUUCUUUUUUUUUCCUGCUCGCCGCUCUUCCCCUCUCACACACCAACUCCCUCGUCAACCCCUCAGCGGCGUCGUUCUUGUCACAAACUGCGCGAAAGAAAAUAAUGGUCAACGCAGUCGCCGAGGAGCUGAAGGCUCGUGGUAACGAGGCCUUUGCGGCGAAGAACUUUGAGGAGGCCAUCGCGCUUUACGACAAGGCCAUCGAGGUGGACUCAACAAACUUCAUCUAUUACAACAACCGCGCCGCGGCUUACCACGAGCUCAAAAACUACGCCAAGGCGAUCGAGGAUGCCAAGAGGUCCAUCGCGAUCGAGAACAACGCCAAGGCGCACGCCCGUCUCGGAGCCGCACUGUGGGCACAGAUGAAGUACCGCGAGGCGAAAAACGAGUUCGAAGUGGCGGCGACAAUGGAUCCCUCGAAAACGUCCAUCAAGGACAGCAUUCAAGCCUUGGAACAGCUCAUCAACCCAAUGGCCUCCACCUCCGCCUACGCGAACCGCCGCGGCGUGCCGCACCCGUACGAGUACGCCCGCGCCGCGGCAGCGGCCAAUGCGGCAGUUCAGCUGUGGGGCGGCGAGUUUGUGUCUGUGGAAACAGGCACCAUCGGCCUCGUGCUUGACGUCGCCGUCGCCGUCUUGGCAGCACUGCAGCUGGUGUCGUCGAUGCUGGCGCCGCCCAUGGCGAGCACCCUCUGGACGUACGUUCUGCUCAUCACAAUGGGCCAGCAGGCCGUGGUGAUGCGCAUGCGCAACCUCCUGCAGUUCAAGAUGAACAUCCUGAGCUCGUGGAUGUCGCACUUCUCCUCUCUGCUGUUUACUCUAUGCUUCUUCGCCCAGCUCACCAGCGUUCGGCCGAUCAUGUUCAUGGUAGUCUUCAUCGCCGCCUACAGCGUGCUCGACCUGGUGCAGAAGCGCCAACAGGUCGCCACCCUGAUGGGCCCCAUGUACCGGCUUAUUGCGCCAUACAUGCAGCAGGCCGAUUUGGCGAAGGACGCGAUUCGCAUCUUCACCGCUACUGUCGAGGCGCUACUACUGUUCACUGUCAUGUUCACCGGCGGCACCUUCUUCACGCUGGUGUACAUUCAGUACGCAAAGUACCGCUACAACCACGACGGCUACGUGAAGCUCGCCUUCAAGGGCUUGCGGAUGACCAUCACCCGCAUGACCACUAAGUCAUUUAUGCCGCAGGCAGUCGACCGGUAUGCCCAGAAGUUCUUUGAUCUCCUCGAUAAAGUCGCCAGCCAGCCAAUUUAAGCACUCCUGUCGAGGGCAUAUGCGCUUCUGUGCGCAUUUGUGGGUGCGUGGGAGUGGGCGCCCACUCUCACGCACCCAUUUUGGUGGCCGAUGAGGGAGAAGUGAAUGCUCGGUGCGGUUGCUCGGCCUCUUUGCCGUUGUCAAUGCGCGGUUGGCGUUCUGCAUAACAGAGCGGACGUCUGUGCGCGUGCGUGUGUGGUGUCUUUAUCGUCCAGUGGACUCGCCUGCUCAGCGUUGUGCGUCGCUUCUCCCUUCUCCCUUGCCAGGUGGGGUGCCUGUGCUUUCUGUUGUCAUUUCGGUGUUUUUGUCCCCCCCUCUGUUGCUGUUGAGCAGGCAACCUUGACCGGAGGCCGAGGCGCUGAUGGACUCCUCGUGUGAUCUUAGUUUCGCCGGCAAGGGCCAGCGUAUUGUCGGCUCUCCGGGUGAUCACAAGCAACGAAGGGGGAUCGCGGAGCGAACUCGCUGUAAAAGGAACGCAGCGGAAAUAUAAUAAUGAGAACAAAAAAGCAACGCAUCAAGGUCCCAGAACGGGACUACGACUAAAUGGUUCAUCGACGGCGUUGCAUGUUUGUGUUUGUGUGUGUUCAUGCGCAUGUGCGGCCGCAUCGCUCUAAUUAAAAAGAAAGACAUGAUUAUUGGUCUAGGUUUCCUGCACUUUGGUUCCCUUUUUUUUCCUCCGUCUCUGUAUCCCACUCCCCACCUCAUUUUUGCUCGGGAAGUCUGCCCCAUCCGCCGUCAUUCUGACCCGCUUCACUCUUCGUACAUUGCUGAUUUGUGUGUACUCUGUUGAGCUGGUCUUCGCCUCCCGUUUUUCCCCUCAUUUUGCGGUCGUCUUCGACAGUAAGCGUAUCAUUAGUGAUCGUGAAGCACCAAGGCGCAAGCAAACGAGAAACCGAAAACACCAAGGCAAAAGGCGGCGCAGAAGUGCCGUGGCGUUUUCUCGUGUCCAUGCGAAUGAGCUUCUGUGCGCCUCUUCAUUCUUUUCUUUUUCCUGUGUGGGCCGGUUACACCCCGUACCCUUUUCCCACUCGACUGCGUGCAGCCGAGGUGGUGGACCGCUUCCGAUAGGGGACACGUGCUGCACCUUUCCUGCUUCACUCUCGCCCGCUUCUCCCGGCCUUGCAUGAGUACACCAGAGACUCGCUGGCGCAUCUUCCUGGAGCCGCCGCCGCCCUACUUCCUCCUUCCCCACCACUCUUUGACACCUCCUCAG